This 459-nucleotide ribosomal RNA is filed under the name uncultured bacterium. Its description in RNAcentral is "partial 16S ribosomal RNA". It matches the Rfam family "Bacterial small subunit ribosomal RNA", at positions 338 to 795 of the family's 1533-position model. The record is from RNAcentral.
CCUACGGGUGGCAGCAGUGAGGAAUAUUGGUCAAUGGGCGGGAGCCUGAACCAGCCAAGCCGCGUGAGGGAAGAAGGUACAGCGUAUCGUAAACCUCUUUUGUCAGGGAACAAAGGCGGGGACUAGUCCCCGGAUGAGGGUACCUGAAGAAAAAGCAUCGGCUAACUCCGUGCCAGCAGCCGCGGUAAUACGGAGGAUGCGAGCGUUAUCCGGAUUUAUUGGGUUUAAAGGGUGCGAAGGCGGCCUGUUAAGUCAGCGGUAAAAGCCCGGGGCUCAACCCCGGCGAGCCGUUGAAACUGGCGGGAGUGAGUGAGAGGAAAGUACGCGGAAUGCGUGGUGGAGCGGUGAAAUGCUUAGAUAUCGCGAAGAAACCCGAGUGCGAAGGCAGCAUACGGGCGCCACACUGACGCUGAGGCACGAAGGCGUGGGUAUCGAACAGGAUGAGAUACCCGAGUAGUC